GUGGGUCCUAUGGUGGCUGUGGCGGCGGCAGAACACCAAGGCCACCUAAGUAUCAACAGGGUCAGGGCCGUGGUGGUCAGUAGUAUAGCCGAAGAGGACAUGGUGGUGUUCAGCGGCGCUCACCUGCUCAACAACCACAAUCGCAGCCACUGCAGCCCCAACAGCGACGGGGAUAUCAAGGGCCGGGAAUGGGGUUGACACCCCAACGUGGGGCCUAUGGUGGCCGUGGCGGCGGCACAACACCACGUCCAGCUAAGUAUCAACAGGGUCGGUUCCAGUUAGUUUUUUAACCAAAUUUUAGUGUCGGUUAAUCGACAAGUCGGUUUAGUUAUUAACCGAAUAGCCACCCAUAUCAGUAUUCUGAUUCUGUUUAAGAUUAUGCGAUUGAAUGUUCCGGUGAAAUGUUUCGGAUUGAAUGGUCCGGUGAAAUGACCCGGUAAUUUAUGUUUAUGAUCUAUUGGAUAGCUUUUAACUUGUUUAUUUUCAGAUGAUCUUUUCAAUGCAACACAGACAUUUA
This is a non-coding RNA of Salvia hispanica, 517 nucleotides long. Lineage: Eukaryota; Viridiplantae; Streptophyta; Magnoliopsida; Lamiales; Lamiaceae. The record is from RefSeq and is a predicted model, not a curated record.